UGGGGAAUAUUGGACAAUGGGCGAAAGCCUGAUCCAGCCAUGCCGCGUGUGUGAAGAAGGUCUUCGGAUUGUAAAGCACUUUAAGUUGGGAGGAAGGGCAUUAACCUAAUACGUUAGUGUUUUGACGUUACCGACAGAAUAAGCACCGGCUAACUCUGUGCCAGCAGCCGCGGUAAUACAGAGGGUGCAAGCGUUAAUCGGAAUUACUGGGCGUAAGGCGCGUAGGUGGUUUGUUAAGUUGGAUGUGAAAUCCCCGGGCUCAACCUGGGAACUGCAUUCAAAACUGACUGACUAGAGUAUGGUAGAGGGUGGUGGAAUUUCCUGUGUAGCGGUGAAAUGCGUAGAUAUAGGAAGGAACACCAGUGGCGAAGGCGACCACCUGGACUAAUACUGACACUGAGGUGCGAAAGCGUGGGGAGCAAACA
This 425-nucleotide ribosomal RNA is filed under the name uncultured bacterium. RNAcentral's name for it is "partial 16S ribosomal RNA". It matches the Rfam family "Bacterial small subunit ribosomal RNA", at positions 355 to 774 of the family's 1533-position model. The record is from RNAcentral.